UGCAUAUAGAGCAGUGGUCCAG
This 22-nucleotide non-coding RNA is filed under the name Mus musculus (house mouse). The record is from RNAcentral. Lineage: Eukaryota; Metazoa; Chordata; Mammalia; Rodentia; Muridae.